GCUCAGGUACAGAUAGGAACGUCUCUAUAGCAGCCCAGGCUUCAAUGGGAACCAGCAGCUGAAUGUCUACCAAAACUCCCUGACAGAUUUUGUUGACCAUAUGGAGUACCAUACUGUCAUUCUAAACAGCGAAUUUGACCAAAGAUGACAGGUUUAAAGCUGCAUCAGAUACAUCUUCACUCCCAUCUCUGGAUACAGAAAUAGUCUGAGCUGAGUCAUCGGGUUCUGAAGGACAGCAGGGUCCUGUGAAGUGCUUCCAGCUGUGACCUACCACCUGUAAGGAAGGCAGCAAGAAGUACAUGGACUAAAACUGGGCACUAUAUGUAGCAAAUUGAGAUAUUUUCAGUAUUUUUAACUUUCGUGAAAUAGGACAGUGGAAACAAGCUACAAGAAAGCAAGUUAUUAGGUACACAAACAGAAAUCCGGAGGCCUGCAGUUAUAGCAGCAGCUCAGCCAGCCCAGCACUCACACCUCCCGAAGCAGCCCGCAGCCGAGCCCG
RNAcentral lists this long non-coding RNA (499 nucleotides) under Gallus gallus (chicken). Its description in RNAcentral is "long non-coding RNA NONGGAT008178". The record is from RNAcentral. Lineage: Eukaryota; Metazoa; Chordata; Aves; Galliformes; Phasianidae.